GGGGAUGUGGUCUAGUGGUAUGACGUUUCCUUAGCAUGCGAUGAACUUAUCAUUCAAGAGCAUGGAAAAGGUUCUGGGUUCGAUUCCCAGCCUCUCCA
This is a non-coding RNA of Truncatella angustata, 98 nucleotides long. The record is from the annotation of a RefSeq genome assembly. Lineage: Eukaryota; Fungi; Ascomycota; Sordariomycetes; Amphisphaeriales; Sporocadaceae.